RNAcentral lists this long non-coding RNA (290 nucleotides) under Elaeis guineensis (African oil palm). RNAcentral's name for it is "long non-coding RNA (EGUI_LNC022305)". Lineage: Eukaryota; Viridiplantae; Streptophyta; Magnoliopsida; Arecales; Arecaceae. The record is from RNAcentral.
GUUAUCUGAGCAUACGUGUACGUGUCAGAAAUGACAGUGUUAUCAUUUACCGUAUUCUCAUAUGAUGGCUGCCUAUACACAUGUGUCAAUUGAUUUUUGACGAUAUAUUGAUCGAUGUUACACACUAGAGGAAUAUCAUCAUAGUUACAGCCAUAAAUUUCAACACAUUCCGCAUGCAGAUUAUUGGGCGCAACAAAUAACUGACAUCACUAUUAUACCACAGAAAGAACGAUUGCGACAAAAGAGAAGAUCGCGAUCUUUUAGACUAAAGAAUGAAAUGGAUUGGACGG